AGGAAUGUAUAGCAAUAGCUAGUUGCAUCAUUGUAAAGAUGAUGCAAUAUUGACUAUGUUGAAUAAAAUUCUAGGUAGAAUUAUGAUAAUGACAUUGUCUGCCUAUGUGUCUUGACCAAAUUACGUGCCAGCAGUCGCGGUAAUACGUAGAAGACUAGUGUUAUUCAUGUUUAAUCGGUUUAAAGGGUACCUAGACGGCAGAUCAAGCUUUCCGAGCAGAAAAAAAAAAAGGACUAAUUUGCUAGAGUUACUUACGAGGGGGUUUUAAAGUACUGCUGGUGUAGAGAUGAAAUUCUUUAAUACCUAUUUUCGAAAGAAUUAUAAUGGCACAGGUAUAGGCGAAGGCAUCCCCUUAUGUGAUAACUGACGUUGAGGGACGAAGGCUUUAUACAACGAACGGGAUUAGAUACCCCACUAGUGGAAGCAGUAAAUGAUGAAUGUCAUAGAUUAGCUAGAUAGGUUCAUUCUAUAAAUGAAAGUGUAAGCAUUCCACCUCAUGAGUAAUAUGGCAACAUUGGAAUUGAAAUCAUUAGACCGUAUCUGAAACCAGUAGUGAAGUAUGUUGUUUAAUUUGAUGAUCCGCAAAAAACCUUACCACAAUUUGAAUAUAUAUAUUUUUUAUUGUCUUGUCAUUAAUAUUGUUCUUUUUAUAACAUAAAAUUAAUAAAGAGGCAAUAAGAUAUAUUUACAAGCGUUGCACGGCUGUCUUCAGUUAAUGUCGCGAGAUUUUGGUUAGAUCCAUAAAAUUAACGUAAACCCUUACUUUAUUUUUAGAUAGAGUUGUUCCCCACUAUAUUGGAUAUGAU
RNAcentral lists this ribosomal RNA (806 nucleotides) under Hypotrachyna pseudosinuosa. RNAcentral describes it as "SSU rRNA". It matches the Rfam family "Bacterial small subunit ribosomal RNA", at positions 357 to 1146 of the family's 1533-position model. Lineage: Eukaryota; Fungi; Ascomycota; Lecanoromycetes; Lecanorales; Parmeliaceae. The record is from RNAcentral.